ACAGCAGACCUAUGAAGGUCAAAGGGGAAGUUAAGAAAAGCUGUAUCGAUUGUUGAGAUCUGGCGACUUGCUUAAAUUUCAUCAGCCUCACUUCUAUGGACUCUCAGGCCUCACGUGUACCAGCUCUCUGCUCUCCUUUGCCUUGGGACGUUCCAUCCCUGGAAGUUUCCCUGCCCACAUCUUUGUAGAGAGUCCAUUCUCCAAGCUUCAGUGUGUCAUCUGUUAGGACUAUGACCCACCUGGUACAUUACCUCAGGGCAUUCAUUUCAGGCUCCUUCUAAGUGGUCAAGUUUUCAAGAUUGUUUUGGCUCUAGCAAAACAAGUUGGAACAUUCACAUCAUCCAUCUUCUGUCAGCCUAACAAGCAUAGCAAGAAGAUAUAGCCCCACAACCACUUUAUGCACAUAGUUAGAAGCAUAAAAUCUCAUGGAAAGAGACCGAUUAUCCACAGAAGAUGUUGUCUUGCCAUUUCUCUCAUGUUAGAGGUAAACCUCAGGUUCUCCUCCUGCCUUUUGCUAAGUAUAUGUCUUGAUGACAAGCCUUCUGCUAAUGAGCUGUGUUUCUGGACCGAUCAUGGUAGAAGUCAAUUGAAGUGUCCCUCACUUGGGGUUUCUUAAGG
RNAcentral lists this long non-coding RNA (618 nucleotides) under Pongo abelii (Sumatran orangutan). RNAcentral describes it as "lincRNA". The record is from RNAcentral. Lineage: Eukaryota; Metazoa; Chordata; Mammalia; Primates; Hominidae.